RNAcentral lists this ribosomal RNA (550 nucleotides) under Bacillus licheniformis. RNAcentral's name for it is "bacterial SSU rRNA". It matches the Rfam family "Bacterial small subunit ribosomal RNA", at positions 79 to 612 of the family's 1533-position model. Lineage: Bacteria; Bacillati; Bacillota; Bacilli; Caryophanales; Bacillaceae. The record is from RNAcentral.
CUUGCUCCCUUAGGUCAGCGGCGGACGGGUGAGUAACACGUGGGUAACCUGCCUGUAAGACUGGGAUAACUCCGGGAAACCGGGGCUAAUACCGGAUGCUUGAUUGAACCGCAUGGUUCAAUCAUAAAAGGUGGCUUUUAGCUACCACUUGCAGAUGGACCCGCGGCGCAUUAGCUAGUUGGUGAGGUAACGGCUCACCAAGGCGACGAUGCGUAGCCGACCUGAGAGGGUGAUCGGCCACACUGGGACUGAGACACGGCCCAGACUCCUACGGGAGGCAGCAGUAGGGAAUCUUCCGCAAUGGACGAAAGUCUGACGGAGCAACGCCGCGUGAGUGAUGAAGGUUUUCGGAUCGUAAAACUCUGUUGUUAGGGAAGAACAAGUACCGUUCGAAUAGGGCGGCACCUUGACGGUACCUAACCAGAAAGCCACGGCUAACUACGUGCCAGCAGCCGCGGUAAUACGUAGGUGGCAAGCGUUGUCCGGAAUUAUUGGGCGUAAAGCGCGCGCAGGCGGUUUCUUAAGUCUGAUGUGAAAGCCCCCGGCUCAC